This 253-nucleotide ribosomal RNA is filed under the name uncultured bacterium. RNAcentral's name for it is "partial 16S ribosomal RNA". It matches the Rfam family "Bacterial small subunit ribosomal RNA", at positions 524 to 776 of the family's 1533-position model. The record is from RNAcentral.
GACGAACCGUGCGAACGUUGUUCGGAAUCACUGGGCUUAAAGGGCGCGUAGGCGGGUUUUCAAGUCUGUGGUGAAAGCCUCCAGCUUAACUGGAGAAGUGCCGUGGAUACUGGAGACCUCGAGGAGGGUAGGGGCAUCUGGAACAGCCGGUGGAGCGGUGAAAUGCGUAGAUAUCGGGAGGAACACCUGUGGCGAAAGCGGCGCACUGGACCAUAACUGACGCUGAGGCGCGAAAGCUAGGGGAGCAAACAGG